RNAcentral lists this unclassified non-coding RNA (250 nucleotides) under plant metagenome. RNAcentral's name for it is "partial contains small subunit ribosomal RNA, internal transcribed spacer 1, and 5.8S ribosomal RNA". The record is from RNAcentral.
GUAGGUGAACCUGCGGAAGGAUCAUUAUUGAAGCUCGGAAUGCAUGUUCGGUGCUGAUGCUGCCCAGCAAUGGGACGUGCUCGCUCGGAUGUGUGUCCCUUCUCUAUUCCACCCCUUUGUGAACCAAGUGUGCGAGCCGAUGAGAGAUCGGAGGCUCGCAUGCAAACCCUUAACAUACCCCAAUGAAGUAUCAGAAUGUAACUUGCGUUAACUCGCACAAAUACAACUUUCAACAACGGAUCUCUUGGCU